RNAcentral lists this non-coding RNA (588 nucleotides) under Trichomonas vaginalis G3. RNAcentral describes it as "Eukaryotic small subunit ribosomal RNA". It matches the Rfam family "Eukaryotic small subunit ribosomal RNA", at positions 1 to 667 of the family's 1831-position model. Lineage: Eukaryota; Parabasalia; Trichomonadida; Trichomonadidae. The record is from Rfam by way of RNAcentral.
UACUUGGUUGAUCCUGCCAAGGAAGCACACUUAGGUCAUAGAUUAAGCCAUGCAAGUGUUAGUUCAGGUAACGAAACUGCGAAUAGCUCAUUAAUACGCUCAGAAUCUAUUUGGCGGCGACCAACAGGUCUUAAAUGGAUAGCAGCAGCAACUCUGGUGCUAAUACAUGCGAUUGUUUCUCCAGAUGUGAAUUAUGGAGGAAAAGUUGACCUCAUCAGAGGCACGCCAUUCGACUGAGUGACCUAUCAGCUUGUACUUAGGGUCUUUACCUAGGUAGGCUAUCACGGGUAACGGGCGGUUACCGUCGGACUGCCGGAGAAGGCGCCUGAGAGAUAGCGACUAUAUCCACGGGUAGCAGCAGGCGCGAAACUUUCCCACUCGAGACUUUCGGAGGAGGUAAUGACCAGUUCCAUUGGUGCCUUUUGGUACUGUGGAUAGGGGUACGGUUUUCCACCGUACCGAAACCUAGCAGAGGGCCAGUCUGGUGCCAGCAGCUGCGGUAAUUCCAGCUCUGCGAGUUUGCUCCCAUAUUGUUGCAGUUAAAACGCCCGUAGUCUGAAUUGGCCAGCAAUGGUCGUACGUAUUUUU